RNAcentral lists this transfer RNA (63 nucleotides) under Hyalopterus amygdali. RNAcentral's name for it is "transfer RNA aspartic acid". Lineage: Eukaryota; Metazoa; Arthropoda; Insecta; Hemiptera; Aphididae. The record is from RNAcentral.
AAGAAAUUAGUUAAAAUAUAACAUUAAUUUGUCAAAUUAAAAUUAUUUAAAAAAUAUAUCUUA